AUGGCUGCUGCGGCGUUGCUCCUGGUGGCCGCGCUCGUCGCCCUUGGUUCCGGCCAUGGCGGCGAGGCCUUCGACCCCAACCCUCUCCAGGACUUCUGCGUCGCCGACUCCACGUCCAAAGUGCGCGUGAAUGGGUUAUCAUGCAAGGACCCGGCGGCCGUGGUGUCCGACGACUUCUUCUUCGCCGGUGCCGACAAGCUGCGCGACACGACGAGCGAGCGCUACGGGUACUCAGCGCUGACCGUGCAGAUCCCAGGCCUUAACACGCAGGGCCAGCGGUACGCCCGCGUCGACCUUGCACCGGGGGCCAUCUUCCCGCCGCACUACCACCCCAGGGCGGCCGAGACGGCCCUGGUGCUGGAAGGCUCCGUCUACUUCGGGUUCGUCUCCUCCUACCCGGACAACAAGCUCUUCGCCAAGGUGCUCAGCAAGGGCGACGUGUUCGCCGUGCCGCAGGGGCUCAUGCACUUCCUCUACAACAACGGCACCGCCCCUGCUGCGCUCUACGCCAGCCUCAGCAGCCAGAACCCCGGGCUGGUGCUCCUUGCCGACGCGCUCUUCGCCGGGGCUCUCCCCGAUGAUCUCCUGGCUAAGACGCUCCUCACGGAUAAGCACACCGUGGACAGCAUCCGGGCAAACUUUCGGCCGUCUUGA
This 654-nucleotide ribosomal RNA is filed under the name Triticum aestivum (bread wheat). RNAcentral's name for it is "partial small subunit ribosomal RNA". Lineage: Eukaryota; Viridiplantae; Streptophyta; Magnoliopsida; Poales; Poaceae. The record is from RNAcentral.